AGUGAACGCUGGCGGUAGGCCUAACACAUGCAAGUCGAACGGCAGCACAGUAAGAGCUUGCUCUUACGGGUGGCGAGUGGCGGACGGGUGAGGAAUACAUCGGAAUCUACUUUUUCGUGGGGGAUAACGUAGGGAAACUUACGCUAAUACCGCAUACGACCUACGGGUGAAAGCAGGGGAUCUUCGGACCUUGCGCGAUUGAAUGAGCCGAUGUUGGAUUAGCUAGUUGGGUGGGUAAAGGCCCACCAAGGCGAGGAUCCGUAGCUGGUCGGAGAGGAUGAUCAGCCACACUGGAAGUGAGACACGGUCCAGACUCCUAAGGGAGGGAGCAGUGGGGAAUAUUGGACAAUGGGCGCAAGCCUGAUCCAGCCAUACCGCGUGGGUGAAGAAGGCCUUCGGGUUGUAAAGACCUUUUGUUGGGAAAGAAAAGCAGCAGGUUAAUACCCCGCGGUUCUGACGGUACCCAAAGAAUAAGCACCGGCUAACUUCGUG
This 492-nucleotide ribosomal RNA is filed under the name uncultured bacterium. RNAcentral describes it as "partial 16S ribosomal RNA". It matches the Rfam family "Bacterial small subunit ribosomal RNA", at positions 29 to 507 of the family's 1533-position model. The record is from RNAcentral.